RNAcentral lists this ribosomal RNA (505 nucleotides) under uncultured bacterium. RNAcentral's name for it is "partial 16S ribosomal RNA". It matches the Rfam family "Bacterial small subunit ribosomal RNA", at positions 28 to 507 of the family's 1533-position model. The record is from RNAcentral.
GACGAACGCUGGCGGCGUGCCUAAUACAUGCAAGUAGAACGCACAGUUUAUACCUUAGCUUGCUACACCAUAGACUGUGAGUUGCGAACGGGUGAGUAACGCGUAGGUAACCUGCCUGGUAGCGGGGGAUAACUAUUGGAAACGAUAGCUAAUACCGCAUAAUAUUAAUUAUUGCAUGAUAAUUGAUUGAAAGAUGCAACUGCAUCACUACCAGAUGGACCUGCGUUGUAUUAGCUAGUAGGUGAGGUAACGGCUCACCUAGGCGACGAUACAUAGCCGACCUGAGAGGGUGAUCGGCCACACUGGGACUGAGACACGGCCCAGACGCCUACGGGAGGCAGCAGGAGGGAAUCGUCGGCAAUGGACGAAAGUCUGACCGAGCAACGCCGCGGGAGUGAAGAAGGGUGUCGGAUCGUAAAGCUCGGUUGUAAGAGAAGAACGGGUGUGAGAGUGGAAAGUUCACACUGUGACGGUAGCUGACCAGAAAGGGACGGCUAACUACGUG